ACCACUACUUCCCCGUGCGAAACAUCGAGUCUUGUUUCCGAGAGUGCGGAGAUAUUUCCCUUGUUUGAGAGAUGGCAAUGGUCCUGGAUUCAUUUGUUUCAAGAUGCAUUGAACAAGUGACAGGCUUUCUUGAGGGAGAGAUAUGCAAAGUGGUGGGCGUGAAGAAGGAGAUCAAGACGCUACAGGAGAAGCUGGAGACGAUCAAAUGUUACCUCGAAAGUGCAGAGCGGAAAAGCCGUGGGGAUCCCGGCAUCGAGGCCUGGGUGAGGAAGCUGAAAGACAUCAUGUACGAUGCCGACGACAACAUCGAUCUGUGCAUGAUGGACGGUGGCAAACUGUUGGAGGCUGGGGGAUCAGCAUCGGCUUCGGGGGUAGGGUGAUUCCCUUUGGGGAUUAGCAGGCCGUCAGACGUGGCGGUUGGACGGUUGCUCCAUCCGUUGUUGAGAGGAACAUGUCCCUACUUUGGCGGGUGAGGGACAACACUCCAUCCACUGUUGGGAGUGCGAUAUGAGUUUGCCUUCAUCCCCUAUUGGAAGAAUACAAACUCAUCUCGUAUGAUAAAGCCUCUCCAUCCGCUGUUGGGGGAGUACUUCUUCGGAUAUUUAAUAUAUGUCAAUAUGAUGAUUGAAUUUUGAUCGUGUAUACAUUUUGAGUUAACUUUUGGAGUUCUUACUCAAUGUUGCUGAAUUUUUUUUAUUUUUAUAAUAACAUUCCUCUAGCACUAAAUCGGAUUCUAGUGGAGAGCGGAUCUUCAUCUAUCGCUAGGUAGAACCACUUGGAUUAUUCUUGAAGUUAACAUCACUAUAUUUAAUUUUCUACUUAUGAUUUGAUGAAUAAAAUAUAAUAAAUAUUUAUAAAUAAAAUAAAAAUAAUAUUUAUCUACUUCUAUGUAGAAAGAUAUUAAAAAAAAAAAAUUUACUGUUUCCUAAGCAUCACUUACUAUUGGGAGUCUCGUACAGUCUAAAAAUUCGUAGUUCACAUCAGCUAUUGCAUCCUGCAGACGUUGGCGUUCUGUCGAAAUGUCAAUGCUUGCUGAUAUUUUAAUUGGAUGAUAUAUUGCACUGGUUUUUUA
Molecule: long non-coding RNA, 1072 nt
Organism: Musa acuminata AAA Group (dessert banana)
Lineage: Eukaryota; Viridiplantae; Streptophyta; Magnoliopsida; Zingiberales; Musaceae
Exons: 2
Source: RefSeq, a predicted model, not a curated record